RNAcentral lists this unclassified non-coding RNA (269 nucleotides) under Hevea brasiliensis (rubber tree). Lineage: Eukaryota; Viridiplantae; Streptophyta; Magnoliopsida; Malpighiales; Euphorbiaceae. The record is from RNAcentral.
GGGGACAGUAACAAGAUUUUGCUUAAGGCGACCACUGAUAUUCAAUUGCUUUUGAGUGUCCAAACUAUCUGGAAUUACUGGUGGUUUGGGUUCGGUUUUCAAAUUUGGCGUACUAGUUGACCCUUGUGGCAAAAUCUUGUGUGAAAACAUACAAGUAUCUCCUCUAGGGCAUGAACCAUUGGACACAAAAUUGCUACAAGGAUACUUGGAUAGCUGAUGAUCAAAUGGACAGUCACCACCUUUCAUACAUGAAUGACGUGCAAAAUAAC